GUCCAGGUAGUCCAUCUAGCACAUCUAGUCCAGGUAGUCCAUCUAGCACAUCUAGUCCAGGUAGUACAUCUAGUCCAGGUAGUCCAUCUAGCACAUCUAGUCCAUCUAGUCCAGGUAGUCCAUCUAGUCCAUCUAGUUCAUCUAGUCCAGGUAGUCCAUCUAGUCCAGGUAGUCCAUCUCAUCUAGGUAGUCCAUCUAGUCCAUCUAGUCCAGGUAGUCCAUCGCGUCUAGGUAGUCCAUCUAGUCCAUCUAGUCCAUGUAGUCCAGGUAGUCCAUCUUGUCCAGGUAGUCCAUCUAGUCCAUCUAGUUCAUUUAGU
Long non-coding RNA from Oncorhynchus tshawytscha (Chinook salmon), 317 nucleotides. NCBI's taxonomy places the organism in Eukaryota, Metazoa, Chordata, Actinopteri, Salmoniformes, Salmonidae. The record is from Ensembl.